RNAcentral lists this ribosomal RNA (168 nucleotides) under uncultured bacterium. Its description in RNAcentral is "partial 16S ribosomal RNA". It matches the Rfam family "Bacterial small subunit ribosomal RNA", at positions 339 to 525 of the family's 1533-position model. The record is from RNAcentral.
CUACGGAGGCAGCAGUGGGGAAUAUUGGACAAUGGGCGAAAGCCUGAUCCAGCAAUGCCGCGUGAGUGAUGAAGGCCCUAGGGUUGUAAAGCUCUUUUACCCGGGAAGAUAAUGACUGUACCGGGAGAAUAAGCUCCGGCUAACUCCGUGCCAGCAGCCGCGGUAAUA